ACAAUCAUAAGUUAAAGGAAAACUUUUCGUUUACCAAACGAGUAUUGUCAGUUCGAGUCUGACUGAUUGUA
This 71-nucleotide transfer RNA is filed under the name Tolypocladium guangdongense. Its description in RNAcentral is "tRNA-Gly". It matches the Rfam family "tRNA". Rfam says of the family: Transfer RNA (tRNA) molecules are approximately 80 nucleotides in length. Lineage: Eukaryota; Fungi; Ascomycota; Sordariomycetes; Hypocreales; Ophiocordycipitaceae. The record is from RNAcentral.